UUCCCUGUAGCGCAAUGGAUAGCAUGUUGGACUUCUAAUCCAAAGGUCGUGGGUUCGAAUCCCGCCUGGGAUG
RNAcentral lists this transfer RNA (73 nucleotides) under Trichonephila inaurata madagascariensis. It matches the Rfam family "tRNA". Rfam says of the family: Transfer RNA (tRNA) molecules are approximately 80 nucleotides in length. Their secondary structure includes four short double-helical elements and three loops (D, anti-codon, and T loops). The record is from Rfam by way of RNAcentral. Lineage: Eukaryota; Metazoa; Arthropoda; Arachnida; Araneae; Nephilidae.